RNAcentral lists this ribosomal RNA (375 nucleotides) under uncultured organism. RNAcentral's name for it is "partial 16S ribosomal RNA". It matches the Rfam family "Bacterial small subunit ribosomal RNA", at positions 527 to 896 of the family's 1533-position model. The record is from RNAcentral.
GUAGGUGGCAAGCGUUGUCCGGAAUUAUUGGGCGUAAAGCGCGCGCAGGCGGUCCUUUAAGUCUGAUGUGAAAGCCCACGGCUCAACCGUGGAGGGUCAUUGGAAACUGGGGGACUUGAGUACAGAAGAGGAAAGCGGAAUUCCGAGUGUAGCGGUGAAAUGCGUAGAGAUUUGGAGGAACACCAGUGGCGAAGGCGGCUUCCUGGUCUGUAACUGACGCUGAGGCGCGAAAGCGUGGGGAGCAAACAGGAUUAGAUACCCUGGUAGUCCACGCCGUAAACGAUGAGUGCUAAGUGUUAGGGGGUUUCCCGCCCCCCUUAGUGCUGCAGCUAACGCAUUAAGCACUCCGCCUGGGGAGUACGGCCCGCAAGGCUG